This 765-nucleotide unclassified non-coding RNA is filed under the name Bradyrhizobium sp. STM 3089. RNAcentral's name for it is "partial 16S-23S ribosomal RNA intergenic spacer". The stretch from base 179 to 251 matches the Rfam family "tRNA". The record is from RNAcentral. Lineage: Bacteria; Pseudomonadati; Pseudomonadota; Alphaproteobacteria; Hyphomicrobiales; Nitrobacteraceae.
UCAGUUGGUUAGAGCGCGCGCUUGAUAAGCGUGAGGUCGGAAGUUCAAGUCUUCCCAGGCCCACCAGCCUUCGCGCUUCGCUGCUUCGGCUAGGCAGGCCUUCCAAGAUGAAGGCUGCUGCGCCGCAGCCUUGGCGAAGGCGAGCGGGUAUCAACGAAUGCGCUUCGUCUUCUGGUACGGGGCCAUAGCUCAGCUGGGAGAGCGCGUGCUUUGCAAGCAUGAGGUCGUCGGUUCGAUCCCGUCUGGCUCCACCAGAUGGAAUUGAAGCUCGAGAAUACGCCUUGCUUGAGAGGCUCUGUUCAUAUCGUCCGCGAAACAUCACUUCGCACGCAUUGGUCCGGAUGGACGGUGACGUGCGUGUUUUCUGACAUCGUAAAGAGGAGAUCGAUCCGAGUUUGGAUCCAGCGAAGCAAUUCGCGGGUACCAUUCCUAAUCUCCAGAUCGUUUUCGGCGCUCGCGCACCGCAGCUCAUCGCAAGAUGAGUGAGGUGAGCGAGUUGUAAAACGAUCUUUGUAGCGAAGCUUGACCGCCUCGCUAUCGGGCCGAUCUUACGAAGCAAGCUGGUCUUUCUAGUCAAUGUCCGGCUGCGCAAUCGCAUUCAUCGAGGAUGCGCGCCUGGGACUUCGGUCUUGGGCAAUUGUGCAGACAACAUUCUGCCGAGUGUGUGGACAUUGAUAAUGAGAGCAAUCAAGUGCCUUAAGGGUGUUCGGUGGAUGCCUUGGCGCUGAGAGGCGAUGAAGGACGUGCUACGCUGCGAUAAGCCGU